GUGGGUAGAGCUCAGUGGUAAAGCACAUGUCUAGCAUGCGCGAGGUCCUGGGUUCAAUCCCCAGUACCUCCA
RNAcentral lists this transfer RNA (72 nucleotides) under Camelus bactrianus (Bactrian camel). It matches the Rfam family "tRNA". Rfam says of the family: Transfer RNA (tRNA) molecules are approximately 80 nucleotides in length. Their secondary structure includes four short double-helical elements and three loops (D, anti-codon, and T loops). Further hydrogen bonds mediate the characteristic L-shaped molecular structure. tRNAs have two regions of fundamental functional importance: the anti-codon, which is responsible for specific mRNA codon recognition, and the 3' end, to which the tRNAs corresponding amino acid is attached (by aminoacyl-tRNA synthetases). tRNAs cope with the degeneracy of the genetic code in two manners: having more than one tRNA (with a specific anti-codon) for a particular amino acid; and 'wobble' base-pairing, i.e. permitting non-standard base-pairing at the 3rd anti-codon position. Lineage: Eukaryota; Metazoa; Chordata; Mammalia; Artiodactyla; Camelidae. The record is from Rfam by way of RNAcentral. RNAcentral also lists the same sequence under 2 other names.